Molecule: transfer RNA, 85 nt
Filed under: Yersinia phage phiR1-37
Lineage: Duplodnaviria; Heunggongvirae; Uroviricota; Caudoviricetes
Rfam family: tRNA
About the family: Transfer RNA (tRNA) molecules are approximately 80 nucleotides in length. Their secondary structure includes four short double-helical elements and three loops (D, anti-codon, and T loops).
Source: Rfam by way of RNAcentral
GUCUGCUUGUCCAAAUUGGUAAAGGAAGGAGACUUAAAAUCUCCCGGCUGUAACAGCCUUAUGGGUUCGACUCCCUUAGCAGAUA